ACCAGACUCCUACGGGAGGCAGCAGUGGGGGAUAUUGGACAAUGGGGGAAACCCUGAUCCAGCGACGCCGCGUGAGUGAAGAAGUAUUUCGGUAUGUAAAGCUCUGUCAGCAGGGAAGAAAGAAAUGACGGUACCUGACCAAGAAGCCCCGGCUAACUACGUGCCAGCAGCCGCGGUAAUACGUAGGGGGUAAGCGUUAUCCGGAUUUACUGGGUGUAAAGGGAGUGUAGGUGGCAUAACAAGUCAGGAGUGAAAGCCCGGGGCUCAACCGCGGGACUGCUUUUGAAACUGUUAAGCUUGAGUGCAAGAGAGGUAAGCGGAAUUCCUAGCGGAGCGGUGAAAUGCGU
This 347-nucleotide ribosomal RNA is filed under the name uncultured bacterium. Its description in RNAcentral is "bacterial SSU rRNA". It matches the Rfam family "Bacterial small subunit ribosomal RNA", at positions 330 to 691 of the family's 1533-position model. The record is from RNAcentral.